GUGCGCAGUUCCCGUGCCCUAGGAGUUGGCGGCGGGGCCCAGCCGAGGUAUAAGUUCCACAGCUUCACCCUUGUCGGUGUGAUAUGGGCGUGAAAGAAGACAUAAAACAGGCUUCCCGAGUAGAACCUGCCACCCCGGGCUGGUGGGGACGCGGCACCAGGCCGGGCCGGGGGAAGCCGCUCGGACAGUGGUCCUUGGGUGAGCGCCUUCUUCGGGGCCCAUGGGCCAGGCCAGUGCGGCCCGGGACGCCCCGGACCACCUGGGGAAGAACCGCCCGGGCCGGCCUUUGGCUGUCCCAGGCAGCGGCUGGAGCCCGAGUGGGCCCUGGCGGGAUCUGGGACGGGGAGGGUCUGCGGCGCAGCCAGGAGGCCUGGGAAGUCCCGAGGUGGGUAGAGAAGGGCCGCGAGGGGGCGCUGAGACGGCGAGUGGCCGGGCCUGGGAGUGACAGUUGUCAGGAGAGCAGUCAGGACACCGUUGCUCAGAGUCCAGGCCGGUUAGGACCAGAGCCUACCCCGGGUGGCAUGGUGAUGAUCCAGAUUCAGGAGACAUGUCUGAGAAAGGAUCGUUCAGACUUUUUGACCUAUUUUACAUGAGGAAUAAAGGAUAGAGAAUCUUCUUCCCUUCUGGUCUGACUAGGAAAGCCAGAGGGAGAUGGUGAAGGAGACACAGAGAGAGUAAAAGAACAGACCAUGCCCAGCCUCUCCACUGCAGGAGCUUGGAAUCAGUUCCUUUCUCAGGAACCUGACCAUCAGGCCUCCCAGAAAGUAUCGAGAAACUGAAACAUCUCAGAUCAUGGCAUCUGGACAAUGAGACACACCUGCUGCCUGUUGACCAACUCCCCUUGCUUACCCCUUCGUAACUCCCCACUAUGUAAACCCUUUAUUUUAGUUAGCUUAGACUUGUCUCCCAUCUCUCAGCUGACAUCAUCUGUAAUAAAGCCUUUGAUCCCUGG
RNAcentral lists this long non-coding RNA (952 nucleotides) under Homo sapiens (human). RNAcentral describes it as "non-protein coding LINC01725:37". The record is from RNAcentral. Lineage: Eukaryota; Metazoa; Chordata; Mammalia; Primates; Hominidae.